GCUGGGUGUGGUGGCCCACGCCUGUAAUCCCAGCUAUUCAGGAGGCUGAGGCAGGAGAAUUGCUUGAACUCAGGAGGCAGAGGUGGAAGUGAGCCGAGAUUGCGCCACUGCACUUCAGCCUGGGCAACAGAGUGAGACUCUGUCUCAA
This is a non-coding RNA of Gorilla gorilla gorilla (western lowland gorilla), 148 nucleotides long. It matches the Rfam family "Metazoan signal recognition particle RNA". From Rfam's summary of the family: The signal recognition particle (SRP) is a universally conserved ribonucleoprotein. NCBI's taxonomy places the organism in Eukaryota, Metazoa, Chordata, Mammalia, Primates, Hominidae. The record is from Rfam.